This 1343-nucleotide ribosomal RNA is filed under the name uncultured bacterium. RNAcentral describes it as "16S ribosomal RNA". It matches the Rfam family "Bacterial small subunit ribosomal RNA", at positions 28 to 1378 of the family's 1533-position model. The record is from RNAcentral.
GACGAACGCUGGCGGCGUGCUUAACACAUGCAAGUCGAACGGAAAGGCCCUGCUUUUGUGGGGUGCUCGAGUGGCGUACGGGUGAGUAACACGUGAGUAACCUGCCCUUGACUUUGGGAUAACUUCAGGAAACUGGGGCUAAUACCGGAUAGGAGCUCCUGCUGCAUGGUGGGGGUUGGAAAGUUUCGGCGGUUGGGGAUGGACUCGCGGCUUAUCAGCUUGUUGGUGGGGUAGUGGCUUACCAAGGCUUUGACGGGUAGCCGGCCUGAGAGGGUGACCGGCCACAUUGGGACUGAGAUACGGCCCAGACUCCUACGGGAGGCAGCAGUGGGGAAUAUUGCACAAUGGGCGGAAGCCUGAUGCAGCAACGCCGCGUGCGGGAUGACGGCCUUCGGGUUGUAAACCGCUUUCGCCUGUGACGAAGCGUGAGUGACGGUAAUGGGUAAAGAAGCACCGGCUAACUACGUGCCAGCAGCCGCGGUGAUACGUAGGGUGCGGGCGUUGUCCGGAUUUAUUGGGCGUAAAGGGCUCGUAGGUGGUUGAUCGCGUCGGAAGUGUAAUCUUGGGGCUUAACCCUGAGCGUGCUUUCGAUACGGGUUGACUUGAGGAAGGUAGGGGAGAAUGGAAUUCCUGGUGGAGCGGUGGAAUGCGCAGAUAUCAGGAGGAACACCAGUGGCGAAGGCGGUUCUCUGGGCCUUUCCUGACGCUGAGGAGCGAAAGCGUGGGGAGCGAACAGGCUUAGAUACCCUGGUAGUCCACGCUGUAAACGGUGGGUACUAGGUGUGGGGUCCAUUCCACGGGUUCCGUGCCGUAGCUAACGCUUUAAGUACCCCGCCUGGGGAGUACGGCCGCAAGGCUAAAACUCAAAGGAAUUGACGGGGCCCCGCACAAGCGGCGGAGCAUGCGGAUUAAUUCGAUGCAACGCGUAGAACCUUACCUGGGUUUGACAUGGAUCGGGAGUGCUCAGAGAUGGGUGUGCCUCUUUUGGGGUCGGUUCACAGGUGGUGCAUGGCUGUCGUCAGCUCGUGUCGUGAGAUGUUGGGUUAAGUCCCGCAACGAGCGCAACCCUUGUUCACUGUUGCCAGCACGUUAUGGUGGGGACUCAGUGGAGACCGCCGGGGUCAACUCGGAGGAAGGUGGGGAUGACGUCAAGUCAUCAUGCCCCUUAUGUCCAGGGCUUCACGCAUGCUACAAUGGCUGGUACAGAGAGUGGCGAGCCUGUGAGGGUGAGCGAAUCUCGGAAAGCCGGUCUCAGUUCGGAUUGGGGUCUGCAACUCGACCUCAUGAAGUCGGAGUCGCUAGUAAUCGCAGAUCAGCAACGCUGCGGUGAAUACGUUCCCGGG